This 1095-nucleotide long non-coding RNA is filed under the name Phoenix dactylifera (date palm). Its description in RNAcentral is "long non-coding RNA (PDAC_LNC004353)". The record is from RNAcentral. Lineage: Eukaryota; Viridiplantae; Streptophyta; Magnoliopsida; Arecales; Arecaceae.
ACCCAUUCCUCUCCGCCUUUAUAUUACUACAAUAAAAGCUCACACAAGUGUUACAUGAGAGAGAGAGAGAGAGAGAGGCCAAAUAUAGCUAACGAAAGAGACGAAGAAAGGAGGGGAAGCGAAGAAGAGAUUCGCAAGUGCCAAGUAUUAGUAGUGUCAUAUAGUAGUGGUGCUGACGAUGGGAUUUAUAUACCAGAAGUUGCCGGAGAAUCGGCGAGCAAAAGGUGGUUUUCCGGCGAGGGAGUGGGUGGUGGUGAGACGGGCUGCCGUGAAGGUAGUCGGGCUCUACUUGGGCCGGAGGAGGUGGGCAGCGAGGCACUCGAGGACGCUCGCAUGGGCUGCGAUUUGGGCGAGGUUGAGAAGGGCCGUGGGCCUGUCACGGGCCCGGCAUUUGCCGGCGGCGAGCUAUGACUCGGUGAGCUAUGCUCAGAAUUUUGACGAUGGGGUGUGGAAGGAGGAGGAGGAGGAGUGGGUCCUUUGCAUUUAGGUUUGGAAAAUCUCGUCGCUUGGUGGGUUGAGCUGAGUUGUCCCAUUUCCUUUUCCAGCCUUUUGUCUCUCUUUAUUUCACAUCGGUCAUCAGGGAAUCCUGAUAAUUUUUGUUAUUCUUUUUAAGCUUUCUUUUUUAUGUUCUUUUCAAAUCACUUUUUAGAUGAUAAAAUGCUGUUUUUUUUUUGAAGGGAAGGUGGGACUGUGUUGCUCUAUAUUGUGAAUCCUAAUUUUGUUGUGGAAUCUCUCCGGAAGCUAUUUGAUCUUAAUCUGACGGUAUGAAUUGACUAUGAUUACAUAGCAAAUUUUUAAGCUGAUUAAUUUGGGCAUUAAGUGAAAGCUUUAAACUUGAAGUCAAGUUCAUAUGGGAUGUUUCAAGUCUCAUCCUUGUUUUUCGGGUAAGACAAAUUGUUUCAAAGAAAUUGUAUAACUCGGAUUUCAUUGAAACCCUUUGAAAAGAUAUAUCAUUUAAUGAAUAAGAAUGCUGCAAUAUAUAGUGAAACAAAUAAUAGAUAAUUUAAAAAGUCCUUUUCCAUGGUUUCAACUCUUAUGGCAGUAACAGGGGAAACCAGGCAACAGGGGAAACAAAGCAUUUCAGUAGCAUGAAAC